AAAGGUGGGGCCUAGCUCAAUAAAAAUGGUAAACAAACGUACGAUCUGUUGUUGCGGGGCUUCAUUAUGGACAAGAGUUAAUGCUUGGUUUCAAAUUGUAGGAAAGUCAUUGCUGCUACUUUUAGUUAUAAUUGCAAUAGCAGGUGUUGCUAAUUUAGAUCCCAGCCCGGAUAAUAUUGAAAACAGUGAGGUG
Bradysia coprophila is the source of this 193-nucleotide long non-coding RNA. NCBI's taxonomy places the organism in Eukaryota, Metazoa, Arthropoda, Insecta, Diptera, Sciaridae. The record is from RefSeq and is a predicted model, not a curated record.